Molecule: small nucleolar RNA, 103 nt
Organism: Nannospalax galili (Upper Galilee mountains blind mole rat)
Lineage: Eukaryota; Metazoa; Chordata; Mammalia; Rodentia; Spalacidae
Product: small nucleolar RNA U13
Exons: 1
Source: RefSeq, a predicted model, not a curated record
AUCUUUUAUGUGUCAUAAUCAAGAUGAUUGACUUUUCAUACAAGUGUGUAAAACAUGCUUUUCUCAAACCUUGUUGCAACAUCAGUACAUUAUUUACCUGACA